UCAGCUGCAACCCUCUGCAGCGAUCCCGCAGCAGAGCCGAGCGGUGCGCCGGGAGCGGCGCGGUCCCAUCCCCGUGACGGCCGCACGUUCAGCUCAGUGCGCGGAUGCGGAGCGCACAGCGGAGACAGAGGUUCUGUUGCUAGACAACAGGGAGAGAUCACCCCUGGGGCUCCUGCACCCGCUCUGGCUCCCCAUCCCCCUGUAGUUGGUACAGAUCAACAGAAGCCUGGAAUACUGUGAGUAGAAGAAAGCUCUUCUCAUACUCAUGUAUCUUUCUGCAGAGAAAAUCCAUUUAAACCAGCACUAGGCCAUAACAGAAUUACCGUCCAUUUACUACACCAACACCAUGUGUUGAGGUGGGAGUGCACUGGACAUCACUUUACAACUCAAGUGUCUGAAGGGAUUGCAAGAGGCUUGUAGAUGUGCUGACAUGCAAAGCGUUGUUUCCCAUAGGAUGCUGAAACAUUCAGGUAUUCAACUAGUGCACAUUCCUCAUUACUUUAGAUCCUGCAGCAAUUCCUAUUCGAUGCCUUCAGGCACAGUAUGGCAGCACGACACAUCCCAUCAGAAAGCAGAGCAAUGCCACUGCUCAGCAGAUGUUUGACACGGAGUACCAUGCCAGCCAGCAGCACCACACCAUACCAGAAAUGAUUUUGACACAACACAGUGUCAGUGCCGCAGAGCAAAACUAGCGUGUUCCAAAAAUAGGGACAAAUUCACCUCUGGCACAAGUAGAAGUAACUGCAGUGACUUCAUUAGAUUUGCAUCUGCUUAUGUCAACAAUGAAUCUGGCCCGUAAUCUGGAAUUUACAUAGAAGAGCGGUAAGUGGCUGUGUUUUCAGAGAUCUUAUACAACGUUUUGCUCCAGCGCUCAGCAUCAUGAGGCGGUUGGGGUAAAGCCACCACCUCUCUCUGCAGUUUCCUUUCCACCCCACAAGAAGCAGCAUCAAGUUUCCAUUUUUAGCAGUGUAACAGUGCCCCAGAGUAUACAGUGUCACUUCUAGAGACAUGGGCAGUUCCGAAUUUGGAGAUUUCUCAAGGAGUAAGAACACUAAGUAAAUAAAUAAAUAAAAUAAUGGAAUAGAAGAAGGUCUCUGCUUUCUACUUCCAUACUGUUUCACAGUGUUCACUUUAAGCAUUAGGGACCCAGGAACUGAGGCAAACCAUAAAAUUUCAAUGAGGGACGGUGCAAUAAUAAAAUAAAGUUAUGAAAAAAGGAACUUGGCUGAAAUGUUGCAGUGUCAGAUCUGAUGAGAUAUGGAAGCUUUCCAAAAAGAAACUGUAAUGUACUGGUGCUCCCUUUCACCACCUGGGAGCAGAAAACACAGCAUAGUGGUGCAAAUGCAUGACACUGACAAAGGGAGAGAAGGGAGCAGACCAGGGUAUGGCUGAUAUGAGAUAUUCACAGCGGAGCAACACGCAUGGUCUUUGCUUUAAUCUGUCACUUUAAUAGGGAACAUUAGUUGAAAUACAAGCCAUUCAGUUGAGUGUAUUCAUCUUUGCUGUGUAUUCGAGUUGCUUAAACCCAUCAGGCUGCGUUACUAGAUGAACUUCAGCAGUGCUAAGGGCAACCCUAGAAAACAAAGACCAGAAAAUCCUGAUGGAAAACCAGGUGAGUACAGCAACCAGACACAGCUUGGUACAUCAGAUCUAUGGCCAAUAGCACUGAGGAAGCUCGGUUUGCCUGCUACAUUCUAUUUCUGGCAGAGAGGAACUGUGCUGGGACGUGGUGACCUGCUGCACAGGUGCAUUGAGAACCCAUUUGUUUGGCUGUUUCGAGCUGACCUUUUCCCGUUGGUGCUCACUGCUUCCACAGAUCAGGAAGUUCACACAGAUGCUCGAGCAAAUGCUGGAGAACUGUUGCAAGCAUUUCAAACCUUCUGAACAACAGCAACAAAAAAGCAAGGAUCCUCCCCUCCCUUUUCACCACGACACUGUCACUUCCAAAUAUUUCCUUGAGGAGAGAACUCUGUACGUUUUGCAGUUCUGCAGAGAUUAAAGCAAGCAAACAAACGCGUCCUCUCCCUCAUUUCCCCCCUGCCUCACUUCACCCUCUGCUGGCAUCCUGUAAGUAUUUAAACCAUUGCGAACCACACCCAGCUAGCUGUGGCUAGCAGCUACGAGCAGAGCCCCUUGGCUUUGAUACUGUGGUCCGCUCAACGGCCAAAAAUGCAGAGUGUUACAUUUUCCUAAAAGGAGAGACCAAAUCUGAAGAUAUGCACUGAAUUCCCAGGAAAUAAACACCAGGCAUUAUCCAUGCCUUAUAUGUAAAGGAAUGGAAAGGGGGAAAAAUAUGUUUGCUUGCAAGAAG
Molecule: RNA transcript, 2311 nt
Organism: Lagopus leucura (white-tailed ptarmigan)
Lineage: Eukaryota; Metazoa; Chordata; Aves; Galliformes; Phasianidae
Exons: 2
Source: RefSeq, a predicted model, not a curated record